CCUACGGGAGGCAGCAGUGGGGAAUAUUGGACAAUGGGGGCAACCCUGAUCCAGCCAUGCCGCGUGUGUGAAGAAGGCCCUCGGGUUGUAAAGCACUUUCAGUGAGGAAGAACGCCUGGUGGUUAAUACCCAUCAGGAAAGACAUCACUCACAGAAGAAGCACCGGCUAACUCCGUGCCAGCAGCCGCGGUAAUACGGAGGGUGCGAGCGUUAAUCGGAAUUACUGGGCGUAAAGCGCGCGUAGGUGGCUUGAUAAGCCGGUUGUGAAAGCCCCGGGCUCAACCUGGGAACGGCAUCCGGAACUGGCAAGCUAGAGUGCAGGAGAGGAAGGUAGAAUUCCCGGUGUAGCGGUGAAAUGCGUAGAGAUCGGGAGGAAUACCAGUGGCGAAGGCGGCCUUCUGGACUGACACUGACACUGAGGUGCGAAAGCGUGGGUAGCAAACAGGAUUAGAUACCCCUGUAGUC
RNAcentral lists this ribosomal RNA (465 nucleotides) under Vreelandella stevensii. RNAcentral's name for it is "partial 16S ribosomal RNA". It matches the Rfam family "Bacterial small subunit ribosomal RNA", at positions 338 to 795 of the family's 1533-position model. Lineage: Bacteria; Pseudomonadati; Pseudomonadota; Gammaproteobacteria; Oceanospirillales; Halomonadaceae. The record is from RNAcentral.